UAACAUUGUCUGUGUUCUUCAAUAAUGUCUCUCUCCCUGUAGGCCCGUUCAUCCCCAGAGCACCAACCAGGACCCCCAACAGGACCAAGGAUAUAGCCAGGUUCAGUUUCUUGAUGCUGGGUAUACAGGUCAGCUAUAUGAUUCUGCUGAUGUUUCUGCUGGGUUACAAGAUGGGCUGUAUGAAGAGAUUGAAUUAAGAUCCAUCUCGGCAUAGUAGUUGGACGAAAAAAAGAGGUGAACAACCUGUGCCAUAAAAAUGUAUAAAACAUGAACAACAAAGUAAUUAAACUAAACACUUCAUUUGCUUGUCCUCCUCAAAAGCAGGAGUUACAGACGAGUUAAGCUAUUAAUUUUCAGUGAUGGCUGUGUUUUUUUUUCACCAAACUGGGCAACUUUGAAUGUAAUGUGUAAUAAGUGUAUUGGUCGCUGGUGGUGUGUUUCUGGGCAAAUUUUAAUCUGAACAGCUGCCGACAACCUUUUAAUAGAUGUGGGGACGUCUGUUUGUCCCCACUGUACUAAGUAAAGGACAUGAUCCACCUACCUUCACUGAGAGCUGUGGAAACAGUGUUCCCAUUGAUUUCCAAUGACAACGUAGCGUUUACAAGUGAUCUUUGCAGUGAGACGCUGACCUGCGUGAUUCAGGCUUGUAAAGAACUUUUAUAUUCAGACAACUUUAUGCAAAUCAACAGCUGUGCACGGUCUGCAAACACCAGUCACCAGAUUUGCUGUCAGUGUUUUGAUGAAAUCUCUCCCCUCUCCACUGUAAUGAACAAUUGAACAAAGAAAAUGUCCUAUUUACUAACAGGAGCAGGCUUCAUUUGAACCAGUUAUGUUCAAGCCAUCAACAAAGACAACAAACAUGCUGCCAAAUUAACACACUCCUAUAUAAUUUGUGGUGAGGCUGUAGAAAAGAAAAGCCAAUAUUCCCCUGAGCAUUGUCUUCAGAGCCUCCAAUGCAUCUGGCAUUAAUUAUCAGCUUGUAGAUCUAUUGUGUGUUAGAGAGAGAUGGGAGAGUGUGAACAGAGUGCUGCCUACAAGCAGCAGCACGAGCAACAAUUGACAGGACUGUCUGAGAGAACAACAAAGGUUUCAUGAACUCAGCCCAGUCAUUUUCAGUUGCUUCAGUUAUUUUGUCAGUGUAAAAAGCACUUUUUUUACCGAAGCUCAGCGUGUGUUUAAAUUUAUGGCAUUGCUUGAUUUGACCAACCACUGUAGAAAAUUAUGCAGAAAAGUAAUUUUGUUCUUGUCCCAAAUUAACACCCCCAUCGAAGUCAGAAUCAAAC
Long non-coding RNA from Esox lucius (northern pike), 1283 nucleotides. The record is from Ensembl. NCBI's taxonomy places the organism in Eukaryota, Metazoa, Chordata, Actinopteri, Esociformes, Esocidae.